AUUGAACGCUGGCGGCAUGCCUUACACAUGCAAGUCGAACGGUAACAGGUUAAGCUGACGAGUGGCGAACGGGUGAGUAAUGUAUCGGAACGUGCCCAGUCGUGUGGGAUAACUGCUCGAAAGAUCAGCUAAUACCGCAUACGACCUGAGGGUGAAAGCGGGGGAUCGCAAGACCUGGCGCGAUUGGAGCGGCCGAUAUCAGAUUAGGUAGUUGGUGAGGUAAAGGCUCACCAAGCCGACGAUCUGUAGCUGGUCUGAGAGGACGAGCAGCCACACUGGGACUGAGACACGGCCCAGACUCCUACGGGAGGCAGCAGUGGGGAAUUUUGGACAAUGGGCGCAAGCCUGAUCCAGCCAUGCCGCGUGCGGGAAGAAGGCCUUCGGGUUGUAAACCGCUUUUGUCAGGGAAGAAAAGGUUCUGGCUAAUACCUGGGACUCAUGACGGUACCUGAAGAAUAAGCACCGGCUAACUACGUG
RNAcentral lists this ribosomal RNA (477 nucleotides) under uncultured bacterium. Its description in RNAcentral is "partial 16S ribosomal RNA". It matches the Rfam family "Bacterial small subunit ribosomal RNA", at positions 30 to 507 of the family's 1533-position model. The record is from RNAcentral.